GAUGAACGCUGGCGGCGUGCCUAACACAUGCAAGUCGAGCGAACAGACGAGGAGUUUGCUCCUCUGACGUUAGGCGCACGCGUGUGUGUAACAUGUGGAUAACCUCCCUAUAAGAGUGGGAUCACUUCGAAACACCGGUGCUAAUACCGGAUAACAUCUUGAAACACAUGGGUCCACAGUGAAAUACGGUCUUGCGGUCACUUAUAGAUGGAUCCGCGCCGCUUUAGUGAGUUGGUAGGGUACGGCUUACCAAGGCAACGAUGCGUAGCCGACCUGAGAGGGUGAUCGGCCACACUGGAACUGAGACACGGUCCAGACUCCUACGGGAGGCAGCAGUAGGGAAUCUUCGGCAAUGGGCGAAAGCCUGACGGAGCAACGCCGCGUGUGUGAAGAAGGUCUUCGGAUCGUAAAGCUCUGUUGUUAGGGAAGAACAAAUGUGUACGUAAACGUGCACGGCAUGACGGUACCGGAUCAAAAAGCCACGGCUAACUACGUG
RNAcentral lists this ribosomal RNA (496 nucleotides) under uncultured bacterium. Its description in RNAcentral is "partial 16S ribosomal RNA". It matches the Rfam family "Bacterial small subunit ribosomal RNA", at positions 28 to 507 of the family's 1533-position model. The record is from RNAcentral.